AUCAGAGUGACACACAUAAGCAACCCUGAGUCAUAGCUAGAGUAGGAUCACUUGGGAAGUGCAGUGUCUUAGCCCAACCAGGAAAGGCUGAGCUGGGUCCAAGGAAGGCUCAAGAUUUGCCCACAGAGAAGAGGAGUUAAAGAAGAAGGCGUGUAAUCAUGGAGCUGACUUCCCCAGGAAGGAAAAAGAAGUAGAGAUUUGUUUUAGAGAUUUCAAAAUAAAAGGCACCAAAUCAGAAGAUAUCUAUCCAAGCUUCAAAGCACAAAAAUUAGCUGCCCCAGCCAACUUUCUCUUGGAUGAAGUGAUACCUCCUACUACACCACCGUAUCUGAGCCAGUUUCCGCCAAACAACCAGCAGCUAAUUUAGGUCAGCUUUCACAAAGCUGUGACCUUGGUGCAGCCUUUGGAAAAGUGAAGGGAGAUACAGGUGCAUCGGUCUACAGACCUGAGUCAGGCGAUGCUACAUUAGCAGCCCCAGCGACCGUCUUAUCUUAUGCCUCAGUGGCAAAGUAAAAUGAGCGUAAGUCAAUUAUACCCAGGUUACAUGCUCAAGUCUCCAAACAGAACAUUGGUGCUCUUCCAGAGGACUGCGUUUUGUUCCCAGGACCUACAUCAGGUGGCUCAUAAUUGCCUGUCACUCCAAUUUCUGGAGAUGUGAUGCCCUCUCUUGGGCUCUGCAAGUACUGGCAUGCAACACACACACACACACACACACACACACACACACACACACACACACACACACACCAAUACAUAAAAAACCCUCCCCUGAAGGCUCAAUGAUCUGUGCAGAAGAGAAGGUGGAAAUACCAUUGAGAGUUAGAGAGGACGGGAAACUCCAAGGAAACAGUGUCACCCAGACACAACAAGACUGAUGCACCUAUUUUGCACCAGGCUGCAAGGGCUCACGCCAGACUGAAUCCUAACACUGAAAGGGGGAAACAGACACAGGCUCCCACCCCUAACCAAGAAGCUCUCUGCAAUUAGUACCCAGUUGCAAAGGAAAAAUGAGUUUUCUUCAAUGUUCUCCUUGGAAUGUGAGCUACACUUCAGGGUAGCAGGAGAUGGCGACACAACAUGCGAUCAGUGGUAUUUUUGUGGACUUUGUGUCUCAAACCGCUUUGUUUGGAAAUCUUAUGUCUUACUGGUCUUUUGCUAGUAGGUUUUGGUUUCCAUUAUUCUUGUGUUUGUGUGUAUUCGUGUCCCUUUUUUGUUGCUGUUGUUUUUUUGUUUGUUUUGCUUGCUUUUUUUUUUUUUUUUUUUUUUUUUUUUGUCAAAAGAUAAGGAGCAUGGAGUUGGAUCCAUGGGGAUGUGGGGAG
RNAcentral lists this long non-coding RNA (1319 nucleotides) under Cricetulus griseus (Chinese hamster). Its description in RNAcentral is "lncRNA (ENSCGRG00015040132.1)". The record is from RNAcentral. Lineage: Eukaryota; Metazoa; Chordata; Mammalia; Rodentia; Cricetidae.